CAGCAUCAUCCAGAUUCACAU
Molecule: microRNA, 21 nt
Filed under: Vriesea carinata
Lineage: Eukaryota; Viridiplantae; Streptophyta; Magnoliopsida; Poales; Bromeliaceae
Description: vca-miR172b-5p
Gene: vca-miR172b-5p
Source: miRBase by way of RNAcentral